CACUCCUGCGGGAGGCAGCAGUGAGGAAUAUUGGACAAUGGGUGGAAGCCUGAUCCAGCCAUCCCGCGUGCAGGAAGACGGCCCUAUGGGUUGUAAACUGCUUUUAUCUGGGGAUAAACCUACUUACGUGUAAGUAGCUGAAGGUACCAGAAGAAUAAGCACCGGCUAACUCCGUGCCAGCAGCCGCGGUAAUACGGAGGGUGCAAGCGUUAUCCGGAUUUAUUGGGUUUAAAGGGUCCGUAGGCGGACUGAUAAGUCAGUGGUGAAAUCCGACAGCUUAACUGUCGAACUGCCAUUGAUACUGUUAGUCUUGAGUAAGGUUGAAGUGGCUGGAAUAAGUAGUGUAGCGGUGAAAUGCAUAGAUAUUACUUAGAACACCAAUUGCGAAGGCAGGUCACUAAGUCUUAACUGACGCUGAUGGACGAAAGCGUGGGGAGCGAACAGGAUUAGAAACCCCGGUAGUCCCAUGA
RNAcentral lists this ribosomal RNA (470 nucleotides) under uncultured organism. RNAcentral's name for it is "partial 16S ribosomal RNA". It matches the Rfam family "Bacterial small subunit ribosomal RNA", at positions 334 to 800 of the family's 1533-position model. The record is from RNAcentral.